This 28-nucleotide non-coding RNA is filed under the name Mus musculus (house mouse). The record is from RNAcentral. Lineage: Eukaryota; Metazoa; Chordata; Mammalia; Rodentia; Muridae.
UGACAUAUAACUUGCAUCUUCUUGUGUC